CUGCCCUUAGGUCGGGUAUAAACCCGGGAAACUGGGUAUAAUCCCCGAUAGGUCUCGGCUGCUGGAAUGCAUCUAGAUUAAAAGCUCCGGCGCCUAAGGAUGGGUCUGCGGCCUAUCCGGUAGUAUUGGGUGUAGCGUACCUACUACCCUACAACGGGUACGGGUUGUGAGAGCAAGACCCCGGAAAUGGAUUCUGAGACACGAAUCCAGGCCCUACGGGAUGCAGCAGGCCCGAAAACUUUACUAUGCUGGCAACAGCGAUAAGGGAACCUCAAGUGCCAUGUUACAAAUCUGGCUGUCGAGAUGCCUAAAAAGCAUUUCAUAUCAAGGGCCGGGCAAGACCGGUGCCAGCCGCCGCGGUAACACCGGCGGCUCGAGUGGUAACCGUUAUUAUUGGGUCU
Molecule: ribosomal RNA, 401 nt
Filed under: uncultured archaeon
Lineage: Archaea
Description: bacterial SSU rRNA
Rfam family: Archaeal small subunit ribosomal RNA
Source: RNAcentral